This 494-nucleotide ribosomal RNA is filed under the name uncultured bacterium. RNAcentral describes it as "bacterial SSU rRNA". It matches the Rfam family "Bacterial small subunit ribosomal RNA", at positions 29 to 527 of the family's 1533-position model. The record is from RNAcentral.
AACUAACGCUGGCGGCGUGCCUAACACAUGCAAGUCGUACGAGAAAGUUGGCUUCGGCCGAUGAGUAAAGUGGCGCACGGGUGAGUAAUGCGUGGAUAAUCUGCCCUUUAGUUGGGAAUAACGUACCGAAAGGUGCGCUAAUACCUGAUAAUACUGCAUAACUACUGUUGUGUAGUCAAAGAAGGCCUCUGUUUACAAGCUUUUGCUGAAGGAUGAGUCCGCGUACCAUUAGCUGGUUGGUGGGGUAAUGGCCUACCAAGGCUACGAUGGUUAGCUGGUCUGAGAGGAUGAUCAGCCACACUGGAACUGAGACACGGUCCAGACUCCUACGGGAGCAGCAGUGAGGAAUAUUGCGCAAUGGGGGCAACCCUGACGCAGCAACGCCGCGUGAGUGAAGAAGGCCUUCGGUGUAAAGCUCUGUUGAAGGGAAGGAUAAUGACGGUACCUUCGAGGAAGCCACGGCUAACUACGUAGCCAGCAGCCGCGGUAAAACG